GCGGAAAGGCCACUUCGGUGGUACUCGAGCGGCGAACGGGUGAGUAACACGUGAGUAAUCUGCCCCUGGCUUUGGGAUAGCCACCGGAAACGGUGAUUAAUACCGGAUAUGACAUGGACUCGCAUGGGUUUGUGUGGAAAGUUUUUCGGCCAGGGAUGUGCUCGCGGCCUAUCAGCUUGAUGGUGAGGUAAUGGCUCACCAUGGCUUCGACGGGUAGCCGGCCUGAGAGGGUGACCGGUCACACUGGGACUGAGACACGGCCCAGACUCCUACGGGAGGCAGCAGUGGGGAAUAUUGGACAAUGGGCGGAAGCCUGAUCCAGCAACGCCGCGUGAGGGAUGACGGCCUUCGGGUUGUAAACCUCUUUCAGUACCGACGAAGCGCAAGUGACGGUAGGUACAGAAGAAGCACCGGCCAACUACGUGCCAGCAGCCGCGGUAAUACGUAGGGUGCGAGCGUUGUCCGGAAUUAUUGGGCGUAAAGGGCUCGUAGGCGGUUUGUCGCGUCGGGAGUGAAAACGCCGUGCUUAACACGGCGCUUGCUUUCGAUACGGGCAGACUAGAGGUAUGCAGGGGAGAACGGAAUUCCUGGUGUAGCGGUGAAAUGCGCAGAUAUCAGGAGGAACACCGGUGGCGAAGGCGGUUCUCUGGGCAUUACCUGA
This 661-nucleotide ribosomal RNA is filed under the name uncultured Actinomycetes bacterium. RNAcentral describes it as "bacterial SSU rRNA". It matches the Rfam family "Bacterial small subunit ribosomal RNA", at positions 66 to 743 of the family's 1533-position model. Lineage: Bacteria; Bacillati; Actinomycetota; Actinomycetes. The record is from RNAcentral.